RNAcentral lists this ribosomal RNA (407 nucleotides) under uncultured bacterium. Its description in RNAcentral is "bacterial SSU rRNA". It matches the Rfam family "Bacterial small subunit ribosomal RNA", at positions 355 to 776 of the family's 1533-position model. The record is from RNAcentral.
UUAGGAAUCUUGCGCAAUGGGCGAAAGCCUGACGCAGCGACGCCGCGUGACCGACGAAGUCCUUCGGGAUGUAAAGGUCUUUUGCCGGGGAAGAAUAAAGUGACGGUACCCGGCGAAUAAGCUCCGGCUAACUACGUGCCAGCAGCCGCGGUAAUACGUAGGGAGCGAGCGUUGUCCGAAGUUACUGGGCGUAAAGCGCGCGUAGGCGGUCGCUUAAGUUAGAUGUGAAAUCCCGCAGCUCAACUGCGGAACUGCAUCUAAAACUGGGCGACUUGAGGACGGGAGAGGGCAGUGGAAUUCCUGGUGUAGCGGUGAAAUGCGUAGAUAUCAGGAGGAACACCGGUGGCGAAGGCGGCUGCCUGGUCCGUAUCUGACGCUGAGGUGCGAAAGCUAGGGGAGCGAACGGG